RNAcentral lists this transfer RNA (73 nucleotides) under Stegodyphus mimosarum. It matches the Rfam family "tRNA". From Rfam's summary of the family: Transfer RNA (tRNA) molecules are approximately 80 nucleotides in length. The record is from Rfam by way of RNAcentral. Lineage: Eukaryota; Metazoa; Arthropoda; Arachnida; Araneae; Eresidae.
GCCUUCGGGGUGUAACUGGAUAGCACGUCCAGCUAGCAAUCGGGAGGUCCGGAUUCAAAUCCCGGCGAUGGAA